AAAAAUAAACAUUUCACCUUCUACACCUGUUAGACUGAAAAACACAACUUUACGUCAGAAGAAAUGACUUCAGCUCUACAUUAGGGAACUUUCCAUUUAUAUGUAGCAACAUUCCAGCCGUCUCUACUACGGAGAAUUUAUGUUCUAAUAUUCAAGGGCUUGAAUUUCCUAUGAUGAUUUCCUUGAUAGAGGGUUUUCACUCACAAGUAAGCUAUAAAACAAAUGGUGCAGUUGAAAUCAUUCUUUCAUAAAUUUUACAGACGCCAUCACGAGUUGACUUACAUGAAAUAUCUGUUUCACAGAUGAUAGCGGAUUUGUUCCUAAUAUCGUAAUUACAAUCCUAUCCCCUUUUUACGUAUAAGAACUACCAAAUUAGAGUUAUUACCGAGUUUGUACUAACAUUAUCAGCCUGACAGGUGCCACAUGUGGAGCAGGAUAUGCUUGCCCUUCCAAAUCGUGUAGCUUAUUCUUUAAUAUUCUAUAUUGUGUCUUUGUGCUAUUGUUUGUCUAUUGGUCUUUUUUU
Molecule: long non-coding RNA, 523 nt
Filed under: Mytilus galloprovincialis (Mediterranean mussel)
Lineage: Eukaryota; Metazoa; Mollusca; Bivalvia; Mytilida; Mytilidae
Source: RNAcentral